RNAcentral lists this small RNA (1895 nucleotides) under Pongo abelii (Sumatran orangutan). RNAcentral describes it as "processed transcript". Lineage: Eukaryota; Metazoa; Chordata; Mammalia; Primates; Hominidae. The record is from RNAcentral.
AUGGUGGGUGUUGAGGGGUUAGGGCUAAGCCUGUGAGCUGACAGCAUGUUUAUUGUAUUUCCCUUUGAGACACAAAGUUCAGCUCUGGCCAUGAACAUCCUCAGUGACCCAGUGACCCAGGGGCAGAAUAAACAACCUUCUGGGACAAAUCCACUCUAAGGAAAGAGAUAUGACUCCUGAGUUCGAGUGCAGUUUUGCUGUUGAAUUGCUGUGGGACCUAGCAAGUUACUGGACUUCUUUGAAUCUUGGCUUUCCUAGCUGGUGUUUGAAGCUGUGAUCUCAUGGAUCAAUUAUGAGAAAGGAACCCGUUUAGAGCACAUGGCAAAGCUGAUGGAACAUGUCCGACUUCCUCUCUUACCUAGGGACUACCUAGUCCAAACGGUUGAAGAAGAAGCUUUGAUAAAGAAUAACAACACCUGUAAAGACUUCCUCAUUGAGGCCAUGAAAUACCAUCUGCUCCCUCUGGAUCAGAGGCUAUUGAUUAAGAACCCAAGGACCAAGCCCAGGACUCCAGUCAGCCUUCCCAAGGUCAUGAUUGUGGUUGGCGGCCAGGCACCCAAGGCAAUCCGCAGUGUGGAGUGCUAUGAUUUCGAGGAGGACCGGUGGGAUCAGAUUGCUGAGCUUCCCUCCAGAAGAUGCAGAGCAGGUGUGGUGUUCAUGGCUGGCCACGUGUAUGCCGUGGGAGGGUUUAAUGGCUCACUGCGGGUGCGGACAGUGGAUGUGUAUGACGGCGUGAAGGACCAGUGGACGUCCAUUGCCAGCAUGCAGGAGCGCCGGAGCACACUGGGCGCAGCGGUGCUCAAUGACUUGCUCUACGCAGUGGGAGGCUUUGAUGGCAGUACUGGGAAGCUAUAUGCUGUUGGGGGUUAUGAUGGAGCUUCCCGCCAGUGUCUGAGCACUGUGGAGCAGUACAACCCAGCGACCAAUGAAUGGAUAUACGUGGCGGACAUGAGCACCCGCCGCAGUGGCGCAGGGGUUGGAGUGCUUAGCGGACAGCUGUACGCCACAGGUGGGCAUGAUGGGCCUUUGGUGAGGAAGAGCGUUGAGGUUUACGAUCCUGGAACAAAUACCUGGAAGCAAGUGGCAGACAUGAACAUGUGCCGGCGCAAUGCAGGGGUCUGUGCAGUCAAUGGGCUCCUGUAUGUGGUUGGAGGGGAUGAUGGAUCCUGCAACUUGGCUUCGGUGGAGUACUACAAUCCUGUCACUGACAAAUGGACGCUGCUUCCAACCAACAUGAGCACAGGGCGGAGCUAUGCAGGUGUUGCCGUGAUUCACAAGUCCUUGUGACCCAAACUCCCACUGCUGGGAGGUGGAGGAAGGAGCAGGUGCUGCCUGUGACUCUGAACAGCAGGACCUUGGUGACUGGAUUCAACUUGCUUGGGAGGGUCUGUGUUGCUGUGAGAACCGCUCUCCUCUGACUUGGCAGACUGGUGUUGUUCAUCGCAGUGUGGACACCAUUACCCACUCCCGCUCCCCUGAGGUGCUCUGGCCUGUGCCCUGAGCAAGGGGGUUCCUGACAGCCCCAGGCUGCACCUUUGGGCUUUGUUUUGGUGUUUCUACAGGGACAAUACAGACCCUGGAGAGUGUGUGUGUGUGUGUGUGUGUGUGUGUGUGUGUGUAGACCAUGGUGUUUCUCUAUGUUUCUCUAAGUUGGGGGGUGAGCGUGUAUGACAGUCUACUGGAUUUCUUUACUACUGAUCCUUUCGCUGUGUUAAAAAUCAAGUCACAGAGACCUCUCUUCUGGAUUUGUCCCAUGGGGACCCUGAGACUACUAAAGCUGCUUUCUUCUGAAGGUCCAGUUGGACAGUCUGGGAAUGUCCAGAAAUAACCAGUGAGAGGGGCAGUUCUCUGGCCACACCCACUUAUGUACUUUAACUACUGUGACUUUGUCUGCA